Molecule: long non-coding RNA, 957 nt
Organism: Eurytemora carolleeae
Lineage: Eukaryota; Metazoa; Arthropoda; Copepoda; Calanoida; Temoridae
Exons: 2
Source: RefSeq, a predicted model, not a curated record
AAACAGACAGACAAGCCAAGUUUAUAUAUAGAUCAAGAUCGGUCUGACCAAUUGAGAGUUAUAUUCAUCCCCAACAUUUUUUGAUAUUAUAGAUCCGAUUUACUGUUCAGCUUGGUUCAGUUGAACAUAAAAAUAACACAGUUAACAGUUACCAAUUCAGGGUUCGCGGAUUUUUAAGUGGUACCAUGGGAGUUUUUAAAAAAAUUUAAACAAUAUUCCAAAAUAUUUCUAAAAAUUCCAUGCAUAAUACAUGCAUUGGAAAAAAUAAUUGUUUUGAUAAAGAUUACUCUAAUCACACUUUUUAACUCACCCAGGCCUGUAUAUCGGUGGCUGGGAAAAAAACGUAAAAAAGUUAUAAAAUUUCUCCAAAAAAAAAAUUGUAUUAAAAUGAAGAUAAAAUUUGCAUAUCGAAACUUUAUAAAUUUAGUUUAUUUAUUUUAGAAUUUAUGGUUAACACCAGUAACCCCGUUAAAAAUUUACAAAAUUUCAGUCUUGCAAUAAAUAUCCCAGUGCAAUGUGCUUAUGCACACAUCUUCCUCGUUUGAUUAAAUGUAAUUAUUUGAACCGUCCCUUAUACUGGUUUGUUUGAAAUUGUACAUUGCUUUAGAAUUAUAUUCCACACACUUUUCACCCCAUUGAUUACUUUGAUGGGACUGUUCACUCUUUACUCCCUAUAUUAAAUCCUUAACUGCACCACUAAUUUCAAUGAAGUCCUCAAUAUUGAAGUUAACAACAGUUAUUUUUUUAAUCAAGUCAAAAAUACUUACGUUAACUGCAGGAAUACUUCAAUUAAGUCUUAAUGACUGACUUUAAUUGCUGCACUUACUUUAAUAAGGUCUUUAAUAUUGAAGUUAUUACUUGAAUGAAGUCCUCGAUGAUAAAUUUAACCCCAGUUACUUCUAUAAGGUUGGAUAAACUAAGCUUAAUAGAUUUGAAUAAAGAUUGUAUCAUAUUGUU